GCAACAAAAAUAAAAAAGGUAGAAAACUAGAAAUAUAUCUACAAGAAUGUUUUUCGUUUCAAGAAGAGAAUGAGUCAUGUAUACAGUCAUGUAUACUGAUUCUUUAUUAGAAACUUGAGCAAGUUAAAACAAAAAGUGCUUUCCCUGCACACAACAAAGGGGAUCACAGUAAUGAUUCACAGUUGGAACAGUAAUACACAGUGGUUAGUAACUUCCAUGGUUCUUGUUUAAUCAUCCAUGCAGAGUGGUUCAAAAGUACGCA
This 262-nucleotide unclassified non-coding RNA is filed under the name Hevea brasiliensis (rubber tree). The record is from RNAcentral. Lineage: Eukaryota; Viridiplantae; Streptophyta; Magnoliopsida; Malpighiales; Euphorbiaceae.